Long non-coding RNA from Micropterus salmoides (largemouth bass), 288 nucleotides. RefSeq lists it as uncharacterized. The record is from RefSeq and is a predicted model, not a curated record. The transcript is spliced from 3 exons. NCBI's taxonomy places the organism in Eukaryota, Metazoa, Chordata, Actinopteri, Centrarchiformes, Centrarchidae.
AGAGAACCAGACUCAUCACGAAUGAAUCACGAGUGGAAAUAAUGAUUUGGGACCCAGACAGGAGACUCCGCUGAGGUCUGGACAGAUUGGACCAUUUCGACAACUUCUCCAACUCAUCAGGCUGCUCACACUUCACAUCUGCCACAGCUGCACACAUCAUGCAGUGAGGCGCAGCAGAAACGCACACUUCUCGUGUUAUCUAUGGCAACCAAACAAGGAAGUUUUGUUAAUCUACUGAAGCUGCAGCCGAUAAAGUGUCUGUGACUCAGAUGGACUCAUUCAUGCAAG